AUUCUGGUUGAUCCUGCCAGUAGUUAUAUGCUUGUCUCAAAGAUUAAGCCAUGCAUGUCUAAGUACACACGAAUUAAAAGUGAAUCCGCAAAAGGCUCAUUAUAUCAGUUAUGGUUCCUUAGAUCGUUAACAGUUACUUGGAUAACUGUGGUAAUUCUAGAGCUAAUACAUGCAAUUAAAACACGGACCUUAUGGGACGUGUGCUUUUAUUAGGCUAAAACCAAGCGAUCGUAAGAUCGUUACAUUGGUUGAACUCUAGAUAACAUGCAGAUCGUAUGGUCUUGUACCGACGACAGAUCUUUCAAAUGUCUGCCCUAUCAACUUUUGAUGGUAGUAUCUAGGACUACCAUGGUUGCAACGGGUAACGGGGAAUCAGGGUUCGAUUCCGGAGAGGGAGCCUGAGAAACGGCUACCACAUCUAAGGAAGGCAGCAGGCGCGUAAAUUACCCACUCCCAGCUCGGGGAGGUAGUGACGAAAAAUAACAAUACAGGACUCAUAUCCGAGGCCCUGUAAUUGGAAUGAGUACACUUUAAAUCCUUUAACAAGGACCAAUUGGAGGGCAAGUCUGGUGCCAGCAGCCGCGGUAAUUCCAGCUCCAAUAGCGUAUAUUAAAGUUGUUGCGGUUAAAACGUUCGUAGUUGAACUUGUGCUUCAUACGGGUAGUACAACUUACAAUUGUGGUUAGUACUAUACCUUUAUGUAUGUAAGCGUAUUACCGGUGGAGUUCUUAUAUAUAAUUAAGUACUUGUAUUUUUUUAUAUAUUCCUCCUAUUUAAAAACCUGCAUUAGUGCUCUUCAUCGAGUGUUAUUGUGGGCCGGUACAAUUACUUUGAACAAAUUAGAGUGCUUAAAGCAGGCUUCAAAUGCCUGAAUAUUCUGUGCAUGGGAUAAUGAAAUAAGACCUCUGUUCUGCUUUCAUUGGUUUUCAGAUCAAGAGGUAAUGAUUAAUAGAAGCAGUUUGGGGGCAUUAGUAUUACGACGCGAGAGGUGAAAUUCUUGGACCGUCGUAAGACUAACUUAAGCGAAAGCAUUUGCCAAAGAUGUUUUCAUUAAUCAAGAACGAAAGUUAGAGGUUCGAAGGCGAUCAGAUACCGCCCUAGUUCUAACCAUAAACGAUGCCAGCUAGCAAUUGGGUGUAGCUACUUUUAUGGCUCUCUCAGUCGCUUCCCGGGAAACCAAAGCUUUUGGGCUCCGGGGGAAGUAUCAUAG
RNAcentral lists this non-coding RNA (1210 nucleotides) under Drosophila persimilis. RNAcentral's name for it is "Eukaryotic small subunit ribosomal RNA". It matches the Rfam family "Eukaryotic small subunit ribosomal RNA", at positions 1 to 1131 of the family's 1831-position model. The record is from Rfam by way of RNAcentral. Lineage: Eukaryota; Metazoa; Arthropoda; Insecta; Diptera; Drosophilidae.